RNAcentral lists this ribosomal RNA (115 nucleotides) under Cephalotus follicularis. Lineage: Eukaryota; Viridiplantae; Streptophyta; Magnoliopsida; Oxalidales; Cephalotaceae. The record is from RNAcentral.
GGGUGCUAUCAUACCAGCACUAAUGCAACGGAUACCAUCGGAACUACGCAGUUAAGCUUGCACGAGAGUAGUACUGGGAUGGGUGAGUUCCUCGGAAGUCCUCGUGUUGCACCCC